AUUGAACGCUGGCGGAAUGCUUUACACAUGCAAGUCGAACGGUAACAGGCCGCAAGGUGCUGACGAGUGGCGAACGGGUGAGUAAUGCAUCGGAACGUGCCCAGUCGUGGGGGAUAACGCAGUGAAAGCUGCGCUAAUACCGCAUACGAUCUCUGGAUGAAAGCGGGGGACCGAAAGGCCUCGCGCGAUUGGAGCGGCCGAUGUCAGAUUAGGUAGUUGGUGGGGUAAAGGCCCACCAAGCCAACGAUCUGUAGCUGGUCUGAGAGGACGACCAGCCACACUGGGACUGAGACACGGCCCAGACUCCUACGGGAGGCAGCAGUGGGGAAUUUUGGACAAUGGGCGCAAGCCUGAUCCAGCAAUGCCGCGUGCAGGAAGAAGGCCUUCGGGUUGUAAACUGCUUUUGUACGGAACGAAACGGUCCGGGUUAAUACUCUGGGCUAAUGACGGUACCGUAAGAAUAAGCACCGGCUAACUACGUGCCAGCCGCCGCGGUAA
Molecule: ribosomal RNA, 498 nt
Filed under: uncultured bacterium
Lineage: Bacteria
Description: partial 16S ribosomal RNA
Rfam family: Bacterial small subunit ribosomal RNA
Source: RNAcentral